AGCAGCCGCGGUAAUUCCAGCUCCAAUAGCGUAUAUUAAAGUUGUUGCAGUUAAAAAGCUCGUAGUUGAAUUUCGGGAUCGACGGGUCGGUCGCGCCUCUGGUGUGUACUGGCCCUGUCGGUUUCUCCCUUCUGACGAACCACGAUGUCAUUAAUUUGGUGUCGUGGGAAAUCAGGACUGUUACUUUGAAAAAAUUAGAGUGUUUAAAGCAGGCAUUCGCUUGAAUACAUUAGCAUGGAAUAAUGAAAUAGGACGUUUGAUCUUAUUUUGUUGGUUUCUAAGAUCGACGUAAUGAUUAAUAGGGAUAGUUGGGGGCAUUAGUAUUCAAUUGUCAGAGGUGAAAUUCUUGGAUUUAUUGAAGACUAACUACUGCGAAAGCAUUUGCCAAGGAUGUUUUCAUUAAUCAAGAACGAAAGUUAGGGGAUCGAAGACGAUCAGAUACCGUCGUAGUCUUAACCAUAAACUAUGCCGACUAGGGAUCGGAUGAUGUUAAUUUUUAAUGACUCAUUCGGCGCUUACG
This 520-nucleotide ribosomal RNA is filed under the name uncultured Glomus. Its description in RNAcentral is "SSU rRNA". It matches the Rfam family "Eukaryotic small subunit ribosomal RNA", at positions 569 to 1091 of the family's 1831-position model. Lineage: Eukaryota; Fungi; Glomeromycota; Glomeromycetes; Glomerales; Glomeraceae. The record is from RNAcentral.